Molecule: ribosomal RNA, 271 nt
Filed under: uncultured bacterium
Lineage: Bacteria
Description: partial 16S ribosomal RNA
Rfam family: Bacterial small subunit ribosomal RNA
Source: RNAcentral
GUUUGAUGGCGACCGGCGCACGGGUGAGUAACACGUAUCCAACCUGCCGAUGACUCGGGGAUAGCCUUUCGAAAGAAAGAUUAAUACCCGAUGGCAUAGUUCUUCCGCAUGGUAGAACUAUUAAAGAACUUCGGUCAUCGAUGGGGAUGCGUUCCAUUAGGUUGUUGGCGGGGUAACGGCCCACCAAGCCUUCGAUGGAUAGGGGUUCUGAGAGGAAGGUCCCCCACAUUGGAACUGAGACACGGUCCAAACUCCUACGGGAGGCAGCAUG